UNGGAAUUACUGGGCGUAAAGCGGGCGCAGACGGUUACUUAAGCAGGAUGUGAANUCCCCGGGCUCAACCUGGGAACUGCGUUNUGAACUGGGUGACUAGAGUGUGUCAGAGGGAGGUAGAAUUCCACGUGUAGCAGUGAAAUGCGUAGAGAUGUGGAGGAAUACCGAUGGCGAAGGCAGCCUCCUGGGAUAACACUGACGUUCAUGCCCGAAAGCGUGGGUAGCAAACAGGAUUCGAUACCCUGGUAGUCCACGCCCUAAACGAUGUCGAUUAGCUGUUGGGCAGCAUGACUGCUUAGUAGCGAAGCUAACGCGUGAAAUCGACCGCCUGGGGAGUACGGUCGCAAGAUUAAAACUCAAAGGAAUUGACGGGGACCCGCACAAGCGGUGGAUGAUGUGGAUUAAUUCGAUGCAACGCGAAGAACCUUACCUGGUCUUGACAUGUACGGAACCCUCCAGAGACGGAGGGGUGCCUUCGGGAGCCGUAACACAGGUGCUGCAUGGCUGUCGUCAGCUCGUGUCGUGAGAUGUUGGGUUAAGUCCCGCAACGAGCGCAACCCUUGUCAUUAGUUGCCAUCAUUAAGUUGGGCACUCUAAUGAGACUGCCGGUGACAAGCCGGAGGAAGGUGGGGAUGACGUCAAGUCCUCAUGGCCCUUAUGACCAGGGCUUCACACGUCAUACAAUGGUCGGUACAGAGGGUAGCCAAGCCGCGAGGUGGAGCCAAUCUCACAAAACCGAUCGUAGUCCGGAUUGCACUCUGCAACUCGAGUGCAUGAAGUCGGAAUCGCUAGUAAUCGCAGGUCAGCAUACUGCGGUGAAUACGUUCCCGGGUCUUGUACACACCGCCCGUCACACCAUGGGAGUGGGGGAUACUAGAAG
RNAcentral lists this ribosomal RNA (880 nucleotides) under uncultured bacterium. RNAcentral's name for it is "bacterial SSU rRNA". It matches the Rfam family "Bacterial small subunit ribosomal RNA", at positions 545 to 1426 of the family's 1533-position model. The record is from RNAcentral.